GGAACUUCCGCAGCUGCUUCAGCUGCUGCCAUCAGAUGGGUUUCAAAGGAUGGAAUUGGUGCCCUUGGACGCUUUUUCAUUGGUGGACGGUUUGGCAAUCUUUUUGAUGAUGAUCCCAAACAAUGGCGCAUGUAUGCAGAUUUCAUUGGUAGUGCAGGAAGUAUAUUUGAUCUCUGUACCCCUCUCUAUCCAUCUUAUUUCCUACCUUUAGCUUCUCUUGGAAAUCUUGCCAAGGCUGUAGCAAGGGGGCUAAAGGACCCUUCAUUCCGGGUUAUACAAAACCACUUUGCUAUCGCUGGAAAUUUG
RNAcentral lists this unclassified non-coding RNA (306 nucleotides) under Hevea brasiliensis (rubber tree). The record is from RNAcentral. Lineage: Eukaryota; Viridiplantae; Streptophyta; Magnoliopsida; Malpighiales; Euphorbiaceae.